AAGUAUGAACCCCUUCUCUUCCUCUUUUUGCUACCAACAACCAAUUGGUAAGAAGCAACCCCAUAUUUCUCACUCAUAAUUCCAAAUUGCUACCACCUGACAUAUUUCAUUCUUUUUGAAGAAAACUCUGUUAGCUUUGGGCAGUAUAUCAUCUUAUUAAUUCUACCUAUCUUUAAAGUUGUGAACCAGUUUUAUGACUAUACAUGUAUGUGAUGAUCAUCUAAACCAAAUGUAUAAGAAAAUUGAGCACGCCACUGAGCUCUUGUCUUAUGCCGGUGAAGUUUUUCAGUUUCAUACACUGAAUUUUUAUUCAUUCUUUUUGCUUGUUUUGUUUUUCUCAAACAAAUAUUUGUGUUAUGCAGCUGCCUUGGUUCCCAAUGGAUAUAUCACCAGUAAAUGAGAUGUGGAAUGUCUUGUACACUAUAUGGCUUGUUGUAAGUUUCAAUUACCAACUCCUUUUUGGUUAAUUUUCCAAUUGAAUGUAGUGUCUCGGACAUUAUAUGGUCCUAGAGCAAACUAAUUAAGUAUUGUUUUCUCUAUGGAAGAUGACAUAGGAAUUUUAUAUAACAUGCAGUUGAUUACUUGACUCGGGUUCUUCUUAUUGAUAACUCUUGCUCACUAUUGAUACCAAAAAAAUUGAAGCAGUUACUAAUUCAUGAUCUGGCAUGUAUAAAAUGAAAACUUCAUUCUCGGUUCUACGAGAACGUUUAUAAAAGCCUUUCAUUUGCUUCUCUUCUAUGAAAUUUGAUUUUCCCAUAAUGUAUCCUAAUUAAACUUGAUAUUUGCAGAAUCUUUGAAUCUAUGCUUAUUUUCAACUCCCUGAAGCAUAUCUUACGUCCUUUCUCAUCUUUGGUCCUGGUUUUAAUGUUCUGUUUUGUAAAUCAUUCUCUUUACGCUUCACCAGAAAUUGAAACUUUUCCAAAACCAGUAACUCCAGGAAAAAAUCAUGUCAAAGUCAUAAGAUUUUUGUGUUGAAAGACAUUUGUUUGUGAGCAACUAAUACUUUGAUCCUUUUGCAGUGACAUGAAAUGUAACAUGCACCAUAUUCCCAGCCUCUAGCCCAAAAACUCCGAACUAUGCGCCUGUCUCUCUCAAGUAUUCUAUAAUGAAACAUCACCCCUUGUCCAUCCUGUGCUUGCAGUUUGUGAGAAGAAAAACAAAUGCAUCAAAGGUAGUCUCUAUUUGUCAUGGCAUUGAAAGAGCACAAAGAUAGAUCGUAUUUCUAUCCUCUUACCACACACGAACACAAAGAUAAAAUCAUACAUGC
RNAcentral lists this long non-coding RNA (1267 nucleotides) under Nicotiana tabacum (common tobacco). Its description in RNAcentral is "long non-coding RNA (NTAB_LNC014036)". Lineage: Eukaryota; Viridiplantae; Streptophyta; Magnoliopsida; Solanales; Solanaceae. The record is from RNAcentral.